Molecule: ribosomal RNA, 496 nt
Filed under: uncultured bacterium
Lineage: Bacteria
Description: partial 16S ribosomal RNA
Rfam family: Bacterial small subunit ribosomal RNA
Source: RNAcentral
GAUGAACGCUGGCGGCGUGCCUAAUACAUGCAAGUCGAGCGAACAGAUAAGGAGCUUGCUCCUUUGACGUUAGCGGCGGACGGGUGAGUAACACGUGGGUAACCUACCUAUAAGACUGGAAUAACUCCGGGAAACCGGGGCUAAUGCCGGAUAACAUUUAGAACCGCAUGGUUCUAAAGUGAAAGAUGGUUUUGCUAUCACUUAUAGAUGGACCCGCGCCGUAUUAGCUAGUUGGUAAGGUAACGGCUUACCAAGGCAACGAUACGUAGCCGACCUGAGAGGGUGAUCGGCCACACUGGAACUGAGACACGGUCCAGACUCCUACGGGAGGCAGCAGUAGGGAAUCUUCCGCAAUGGGAGAAAGCCUGACGGAGCAACGCCGCGUGAGUGAUGAAGGUCUUCGGAUCGUAAAACUCUGUUAUUAGGGAAGAACAAAUGUGUAAGUAACUGUGCACGUCUUGACGGUACCUAAUCAGAAAGCCACGGCUAACUACGU